UGAGCACAGAAGAACCCUCCUUAUUUAAUACAGGAUUAUCCAACUUCCUUGGCAUUCCGACUCCAGAAACAAAGAGAGUGCACGAAAGAAAAAGAGAACGCCUCAGUGGAGCCUGGCCACACCACAAUCCCUUCCCCUCCAAUUCUUCAUCCUGACUGGACCCUGGAAACACAUGCCUACUCACCAUGUAAACCAUCAUGACCAGGACUCCAACCCUGGCUGGCCAGGUGGGAUCCUGCUUCCUCUGAAUAGCACUUAACUGCUGCAUUAUGGGCCAGCCGGCACUAAUUGUUAGUGAAAGUAAGGGGCCUCAGAGUUGCAGUCACAGUGAAAGAUUUGAUAUAUGCUUGCCAACUAAAAACAGCUGUGUGAUUCUGGGCAAGUUUCUUUAAUCCUUUUGUUUUGUUUUACUGUAUAAUGGGAAUACUGACAAUACAAGUUGUCAAAGGUCAUGUUCAAUAAUUUUAUUAAAAGUACUUUGUAAACUGGACAGAGCUAGACAACUAAUGUACUAUUGUUGGCCAAGUG
Tupaia belangeri chinensis (Chinese tree shrew) is the source of this 528-nucleotide long non-coding RNA. RefSeq lists it as uncharacterized. NCBI's taxonomy places the organism in Eukaryota, Metazoa, Chordata, Mammalia, Scandentia, Tupaiidae. The transcript is spliced from 2 exons. The record is from RefSeq and is a predicted model, not a curated record.